Molecule: small RNA, 1382 nt
Filed under: Oryza sativa Japonica Group (Japanese rice)
Lineage: Eukaryota; Viridiplantae; Streptophyta; Magnoliopsida; Poales; Poaceae
Description: sRNA Os12g0194432
Source: RNAcentral
CGGAAGUUCAAGAUGAAGAACUCGUAAAUGCUUCAACUCCAAUAGAGAAGGCCUGAAAGAGCUUCUGAACACUGCGAUUGAUCGAACUUGCGAUAGUGACCCAAGGAUUGUUGUCGAUAUAAUGCCAUGCUCUUCAUCAGCAUCGUAUUGGACAGAAACUCUGUGGAUCUUUUUGUGUGCCCCUACCACGACUUGUGGAUGAUCUAGUACAACAAUAAAAUUCUCCUCUGCAGACUUUGAUCUGAUAAAAUCAAGCAUUAUAUCAUGAACUCUGCAGGACAACACCUCAUCAUUGUAGUCCACCUGCACAGGUUGGAUCAUGCUCCUGUUGAUGAGCUCGUUGAAGUAGCUUUGUGCAACAUCUUCUGAAUCUAACCCAUGGGUUCUACUGACAAAACCUUCAGCCAUCCAUUGCCUCACCAAAUCAUUCCUCUCUAUCGUGUGGUCCUCUGGAUAAAUACUAAGAUAUAGCAGGCAUGUCUUCAGAUGUUGAGGAAGAUUUCUGUAGCUAAAGUCCAGUAUAUGUUUCAUGUCUUCUAAAGUAGGAUUUCUUUCGAACAUGGAUCCCAAUGAAUUCCUUACAUACUCCCAUUUCGUCUUUGAUUGACCAGCUAGAAGACUGGAUAUGCUCAUAAUGGCAAGAGGCAAACCUCCACAUCUUUUUAGAAUAUCACCUGAAAUCUCUUCAAAUACUUCAGAGCAAGCUUCUCCAGUGCCAAAUAUUCUACUGAAUAAUAAUCUUCUUGAGUCUACCUCACCAAGUGGACUCAUGUUAUAAACAUAUUCUUUCUUAUUAGAGCAACAACUAAUAGCAACAGAGUAAAUCCUCGUAGUUGUAAGUACUCUACUGCCGUGAUUAUUUUCAGGAAAAGCACAUCUAAUAACAUUCCAUGCGGAUGAAUCCCAUAAAUCAUCAAUUACGAUGAAGUACCUCUUGUCUUGUAGAUAUUCUCGGAUAACCUUCAGAAGGUUAUCUAACUCGCCAAUGUGAAGAUUGUACUGCCCUGUAAGUUCUGAUAAUACUUUACUCAUAAGCCUUGUUAUAUCAGACCUCUGAGAGACUGACACAAAUGCUCGGCAAUGAAAAUGCCCAUCCAAUUUGCGGUACACUUCAUUGGCGAGUGCCCAUUCAUUAAUUCCAACAAUCCCACAAUAGAAGCCACCUUCAGCUGUUGCUCAUCAUCACCCAUCAACAAUUUGACAACGUCAUCUCUUGGGAUGUCAAUUCCCACAAGAUCAGCUGUGUUUGCAUAAAUAGUGACCACUCGUGGAUCAAUUGGCUCACAACUAGACUUGGAAGUGUACUCAUCAAGUUUGUACCUCAUUCGCCGCUCGUUCACCUCCUUGACAUGAUUCUUGAUCUCUUCAAUCUUCUUAGCAAU